This 12669-nucleotide long non-coding RNA is filed under the name Phoenix dactylifera (date palm). RNAcentral describes it as "long non-coding RNA (PDAC_LNC000611)". The record is from RNAcentral. Lineage: Eukaryota; Viridiplantae; Streptophyta; Magnoliopsida; Arecales; Arecaceae.
GAAAUCUUCAAGAAUAAAAAUGCAUCCAAAUAUAAACAGAGCAACUUCACGCCACCAAAAUAUAAAGAGCCUACACGACAAGGCCAGAACAAACCGCACUUAUUUAGGUGUCAGGCUGUCAGACCCAAAUACAUCACCCUAAACACCAUGUCAAACCAUGUCACGCUUACAAAUAACAUAGAAACAGAAAGGGAAGAUACAUAGAUAUAGGGAAAGAAAGUUCCAUCCACUCUAGAAGAGGUGAUGAUGCUUCUUCCCAUGAGAUUCCUCAGCUUCCUCCUUGGCUUCCUUCUUCUCAUGGUGCUCAUGAAAGGCAUACCCUCCGCUGCCCACCGCCAUGGCCGCAGCCACCUCCUCCUCAAUCUUAUGCUUGUGUGCAUGCUCCGGAUCCUUCUUGGCCUCAUGCUUCUCAUACUGAAACAUUGGUUGUGAUAAAAUCACAAACAAAAUCACAAUGUUUAAUUACCAAUCGAUCUCUAGAUUUUGAUAUGGAUAAAGUGAAGCUUAAAAAAGUGUGCAUGCUCCGGAUCCUUCUUGGCCUCAUGCUUCUCAUACAAAAAAUAAUUAUAACCAAAUUAAGAACAGUGUUGUUUUCUUAACAUUAUCAUCUUUCGUUUUCUAUUAUACCAAAUAAUAACAAAAAAGGCCCGUUAUUUCCGUUAUAACAUUAUCAUCUUUCCUUCUUUUGGUGGACCCCAGGAGUCGUGGAUACAUGUCAAGCAUGACGAAUACCAGUCUAGAUUUUAUAGAUCUUCCUCUGUACCCGAUGAUCAAUAAUACAACCCACAAGACAAGAAGAAGAAUGGUAUGGUGCUCUGCGGGAACAAGUUAAGAUGUGAGAUGAAUAAUACCAGAGCGAAGGCGCCGGCGGCUACCGCGCCCAUCUCGCCGAGAUGCUCCUUGUGCUUGUGGUGCUUCUCCGAGUACUCCACCGACUCCACGGGCUUUUCCUCCUCCUUCUGGUGGUGGAAGAGGUGGUGGUGGUGGUGCUUCUCCUCCGACAUCGGUGAUCGAUUGCUUAAAUUAGGCUGUGGUGAUGGUAUAUGGUAACGAGGGAAGGGUAGGGAGGGGGUAUAUAUAAGAGGGGAGGUGAUGGGACCGGGACGGAUGGACCGUCCUGAUUUGCGGGGAUCACGGAUCUGACGCGUUUUUCAGUUUUUAUAUAAAAAUUAGUUAAUUAGUGGCUAAGCAAAUCAGAUUUAUUUUAUAUGUUGUUAAUAGAUGAUAAGGGAAGACUUGCUUGAGCGUGGUGGGCCCUCGUUUCUUUUGACCUUUCUAAUCUUGUGGUCCGUCAAGGCGUGUGAAUGCUAUUGCCGACGCCCGCAGUAACAUAAAACGCAUAAUGUAGCAUUAAUAUCGAGUCACCAAAGUUCAGUACAUUCGAUGCGCAUAUAUUGCAUAUACUGUUAUAUAUUUAAACAUAGUUUUUUAUUUUUGUUAGGUAGGGUUGCAUGUGCUUUUUUUUUUCUUUAUCUUGAUGACUCUAAGACCACGCAUGCAAAAGAUAAAGAGAGGUGCAAGUAUUUUUUUUCCUUUUUUUUCAUUUCUAGAUUCAAGAUCAGUGGCCAAGGUUUCUAAAUUAUUAUGUAUAAUCUAUUUUAAAGGAAAACCAGAAGUUAGAUAGAUUAGUAUUUGAACUACAGUUUCUUUUCUAUACCUACGAAGGAGAAUUCUACUUAAAGGUUAAUUAAGAGAUGUUCCAUCUUGGAAGAGAAAACUCACUUAAAAAACAUAAAAGCAUUUAUUUGGAGCUCACUGAAACCUAGAGAUUGUUAUAGUACCUUUUGAAAUAUUGAGGCAAACGGAGACAUGAGUUAUUAAUGAAUUUUGAAUGAUUCACUUUUUUAUUGGAAAAAUAAUUCUAUGAGCUAUUCUUUGAUGCAUGAAAAUACAAAAUUAUUCAAUAAUUCAUGAUUUUUAUAUUUUUUUUAUAAAUCUUAUAAAUUAACCUCUUUCCUCUAUGCAUCCUCCUUUUUGAACUUUUAAUAUGAUACAGUUCAUAGUCUUACAUUUGUAAUUAAUGAAUAUUGGUUUUCUAAUAUUAGGUUAUAGGAUGGUGCAAUAAAAUUUCAUGGAAGACUUCACGCUAUCCGAGUGCAAAGUAAAGCAUCUUAAAAUUAGAAAACUGAAUAUAUUUAGUUUAAGCAGAAUUUUGCAAAUUCACUUUUUCCCCAAACUUUUUUGAUUUCUUUUUUCUUGAAUUGAAUAUGUCUAUUAUAAAUAUAGUUUUGCAACUUCAUAUUUUCAUCUUUUAAAAUUAUACAACUAAAUAUUUCUUAAUUUUGAAUAUGAAUGUGUCUAUUUUAAGUAAAAUCUUAUAUAUUUGCAUAUUCUCUUUGUCCUAUCAUCUUGCUUUCUUUUUAUGAGACCUAUAUUUUCUCCUUUUGAGACUAAAAGAGACUAUUUCCACUCUUUCCAGACUAAAACUCAUGCUCCAUGGUAGACCAAGCCAUUGCCCACAAAACCAGGUCAUGGUAUAUACUUGGAGGUCCAAGCGACCAAUGCUCUUUGCAAUUGAAUUUUGGCCGCUUAGCAUUUUAUCAUCCAAAACCAAGGUUGUCAUAUGGGCUUUCAGUUGCAAUAUCCUCUUAUCAUAACAACAUGAUAUCUUCUAGAGAAUGAGAAGUCCUAAAUUUUUGAAUGGUUCAAAUGCAUUUGCAAUUUUAUGAUUAGAUAUCAGCCUAAUAUCUUUUCCCCAGGUCAAACGAGUGGUGUUGACAAACUCAAGAUUGUCAUUAAACCGGUCAUCAACUUUUAUUUAAUAUCUCCCAACCAUCCUUUGCCGUUGCCGACCAGCCAGGGCCUGGGACUCGGAUGGCCGACUUACGUCGCCAGGAACAUUGCGGGCAUCACAGGUAGUCCUUUACCCAUGACGACAUCGUGGCUGUUAGAUCUCGAUCGGGUAUUAGGUUGAUUUUGUGAUAUCGGAGUCACAAUAUCUAUACUAAUAUGUAAUAAUUAAUAAACAUUUAUAAGUGAGUCAUAGCAUGCGAUAAAACAGCUCACUUCAAAACUUCAAUCCCACGUAGAUUUUAUAUAGCUCUCAUAUACAUCUAAGUCUUCCCCGUCGUCCAAACCGCGGAUCAUUUUAUCCAAGCCAAAAUAUUGUAGCCAGUGCAUACUAUAGAUGCAAAAAUGCUGCAGUUUUUUAGAGAUAAAUUUUAUUAAUUUUAUUUUUAUUAGUAUUUUAAUAUAAAAAAUAUUAAUAAUUCAAAAAGUAAAAGAGUCAUAAGAAUAAAAAUUAUCAUGUCAAACAGUGCUAUCCACCUUACAGCAUACCUCAAAUUCAAAUCAAAUAAAAAAUAAAAUGGAUUCUCCUAAUUUUUUAGUUUUUGCAAAUUUCUCCAACCCCCCCACUUCCGAAAAAAAAGGGAGAGUGAGAAGGGCCUCACCAGAUCUGAAGGCUCUUUCCUUCAUGCUGCAAACAUCCUCCUACGCUGCACCGAGACCCUCCUCUACUCUCCUCUUCCUUUCCCCCCCUUGUCUACUUCUCUCUCUUUCUCUCACCUCCUUUCACACGAUGUGGGGCAAAAGAUAGGCAGACCCUCUCACAGGAUGCAUAAAAGCGGAAGAGAGAAAGAGAAAGAGAGAGAGAGGAGAGAGGAGGGCUGCGGAAACCGGCCGAACCCGGCGGGCGGCGGCUGCGAAACCCAAAGGAAAGGAGAGCCGAAACAGAGUAAACAAGGAACCUUUCUCUCGCUCGAUUUCCGUCCGAUUUCUCGGACAGCGGCCGUGAUUCCAACUCGGGGGAAGAAGGGCAAGAAAAGGGGAAGAAGGCUAGGGUGAUACCUCGGCCCCGCCGGCGGCGUCCGGUGGUCUCGAUUUCCGGCGAACCCAACAAUGUGCAACCGCGAGCUCAGCGGGAAGAAGAAGAAGAAGAACGAGGGAGAAAUAACGGAGAUUGCUCGGGGAGGAGGCUUUGGAGGGAGAGGGAGGACUCACGAAGUCGGAUUCCUUCCGGCGAUAUCGGGAGGAAGAUGACUCUCAUCGGGACUCCUCUCCCCUCCCAGGCACGUGCUCGGCACGUGCCGUACUUUUUUUUUGUGUGUGUGUUUUGGCCCAAAUUCAAUUGGGCCGGUCAAAUGGCCCAGUAUGCUUCAAUCCUUCAUGGUUGUUAAUGCAAAUGUGGAUGAUGUUAAAUUCUUCAAGGCUUACAAACUCCCUUUCAUAUGGUCUGAAUGUGGAUACCUAAUAACUCCAGUACCCUUUCGCUCCUUUGAUAAACAAGCUUAUCCACCAUAUUUUAGGUGUACUGAGCGAUUAAAUUGGAUAACUUCAAGUUAUCUACCCUUUAGCCAGCAGCUAUAUAUGCUACACACAGCUAAAGACUCCCAAACAUGAAAUAUAGUAAAAAAUUAUUUCUUAAGUCCCUAAAUAAUUUUUUAGUUAUUUUCCGAAAUUCUUAUUUUUCUUAUAAAGUUAGUAGAAUUUGCUGAACUUUACAUGGAACAAGUCAUGGCAGUAUUAUUAUUUUGAGGUCCCUAGUCAGGCAUUCGAUUAUAUGGUGAUCUCGAUUCUCAGGUUUUAUGUAAAUGCCUCUAGAGCUCUUCGAUGAAAAUUUCUAUCCACAGUCCAAACCUUUUUUAAGAAAACAAGUGGCGUAAUUUUCUUUCAAAUUUAUAACUUCUCUGUACUAUUUUAGAAUAUGGAGCAAAAGAGGAUCGAGAAUUUACCAUUAGGUGUCGUUCCAUUGAACUUUGAAGUUGUAUUAUGUCAAAGUGAAAGCUGUCCCUCUUUGCAUCGAUGUAAGCAAGUUCUCAAAUGAAAUAGAUUGCUUGUCUUUUCUUUUUUUUUUUUAAAUUGAUGUAUUUUUUCUACUCUUUUGUACCUUGUACUUCUAAUGGCAGCUAAAGAGAUCUAUCAAAUACGCUGAGUCAAAAUUUUCAGACUGAGACAAACCAUGUUGGCACCUAUGAAAUAGCCCAAUAGUAGGAGGUCCUUUUUUCCCAACAAUAAAAGAAGGAAAUAAAAAAGGUAAUGAAUACAUUAAAGUAUUCGACCAAGCUAACCAAGACAAAGGAUGCUAGACCAGGAAUCUUAUUGUGAGCUACAAACUGUUAUUCGAAGGAAGCAAAACUAAUAUCACAGUCAUUAUUUUCUCCCUCAAACUCAAACAGGGUAGCUUCUAUGCUUCAGCUCAGUGAGGUAACUUUAAGACCUUGAUGUCCUUCCACAGGGAUUCCAUGAAGUAGGAGCUGUAAUUUUGUGCAUAAACGCCGCACUUGAAGUAAUGCGAGGCCCCUCCACGGUCUUUUGCAACCAGCUUCAGAUCUCCAUCAAUGAAAACCUUUAGCAGCCCUGUACCAACUUCAUGGAUCACAUUCACUCGAAACCAUCUCCCAUAGAUAUCGUCUUCUAUGAGCCGUGUUUUAUAGUACAUGAGUGCACCGUCGUAGAUCCUCAGCAUCAGUGCUGUAGCUGUGUUCGUCCGAUUGGCUCCAAAGACUUGCAUGAUGCACACACCGGUUGUCCCGCUUGGGACGUAAGCUUGUCCUUCGAAUUGCCACACUCCAGAAGAGUAGUCAUAUCCCUUCGAGAGAGAAAUCAUCAAGAAUAUGAUGAGACUAAGGGAUUCUUUAGUCAGUUUUAAAGCAUAUGCAUAUAAACAAACCUCAGCAAAACCAUUUUUAAUAGCCUAAUAUCAUAUGAACUGAGAGGAAUAACUUCUGGAGCGACUAGAUUUCCCAGAUAAAAUUGGCCCAAGAUUGGCUGGUUAGUUGAAUAUAUAUCAAGGUUUCUUAGUUAUCCUGCUUGACCUUUCGUGCUGAGGAAAUGGCAGCUUGGACCUCAUUUGUAUCACAGAAUUUAGGUUAGUUAACAUCUCGAUAACAGACAAAAACAGAAAAAAAAGUGGAAAAUAAUACAAAAAGGAGCUCGUUGUGCCUUUUUUUUUUUGUUAAGAAAGAGUUUUUUUUUCCUCGAGAAAGAGUUAGAAAUCCUAACGCACUUUCACCAAGGAAAAAAAAACCUUCUUCACCUAGAAUAGGAAGAGAUGCUGAAAAAAGAAGAGAAAUGCGAGAUAGUUGAGUUUUUUGUGAUUCAUACACGUAUCCGAAUCUCAGAACGAGGAGCAGUCGGACUCAUUGGAGAGAGGGGCUUGUCAGCAGACAGGACCCACAGCUUGUGAACACCAUUGGUGACGCUGUAUCGCUCGCUUACAGGGAGGUCAUAAGGUUUGUGAAUGUCGAAGCUGGAGCUGUUGAGAGGGAGAGAGAUGAAACCAUCCGUAGGGUCUGUGACCGGCCAUGCCACGACUCCUUGGCCAUGAAGCUGAACAAGAGCUACGUACAUCGACACUAAGAGGAGCAAGUAAAACUUCAUCUUUCUCUUACGGACGCAAACGAAGAGGAAAGGGAACCUCGUCUUAGAAGCAAUGUAUUACCAUCCUCACGCCCACAACUUUAUAGAGAAAGGGUUUACAUCUUGAGCUGCAAUCCGUGACGCCUGGCUAAAUUUUUAAAUAAGAGAUUUGUCGGUUCUCUAAUUAUAAUUCCCAGUUCAGCCAGCAACUUGUUUCCCAUUAUAAAUUUCUACUGCGUCCAUUAUAGUACUUGCAAGGUCUUCAAGAGUUCUGUUUGCUUCGUUAUUCUUGUCAUCACAAGAGUCAUUAGGAUGGAUAUCUUGAACCGUUCUUUACAAUUCAUUCUUUUCCAUAAUUCUUCCAUGAUUGUGGUAAGUUUUGUUGCUACUGGAAUUUGGAAGUAAGAGAGGAGUAGGUUAUUAGUGACUAUUAGGUCCCAUUAUAAAUGUCCAUUUGGAGAAACAAGAAAACUACAACAAUUAGUUGAGACAUUUCUACUAGUCCAUGACCUAGUACAAUGGCCGGCAGCAUGAGGUCUACAGACAUGACCGUGGCGACUGGCGACUAACCAAUUGAAACAAAUGAGCUGAACUACUUCAAUAGGAAAUUUAAUUAACAAGACUACACUUCAUUUAAAAGGAGUCAUGCUUAAUUUAGUUUACACCAACUUCUAGGAACCCUUGACCGCAACAUCAGGCCCUGUUUUGGCCCUGACACUGGGCCGGUGGCUGUGUCUCCCAAUAUCGCUAAGGGUUAGUUUAUACCUUCCUCUAUUCAUUUUUCCCCCGGAAUAUUUCCAUAUUACUUCCUAUAUAUCUCUCUAAACUGCUCCCUUGUCAUCUUGCAUUUGUUGGUAUGUUUUCAGCUCCUUGGUCAAAGCCUCCGUUAGUGCUCUUUCUCAAUAUAUUCUUCCCAUUGUACCACAGGGCAAGAGCUAAACCAACGCAAAAAUUCACCAUUGUGGUAAUGAUGCAAAGGUGGAACCACUUGUCACGCCCCGAACCUGUCAUUCGGUAGACCACAUGACAGGGCAACAUAAUUCCUAAAACGAAGCCAUAAAGAUCGUGCAAGACCUAAAAUGAACAAUAUCUAAAUAAUACCAAAAAUUUAAAAUAAUAAUUAAUAAUCAAUUUAAUCCAAUAAAACCACUAUAAUUAAAUAACCAACUUGCUCGAUUACAAGAUUCAGAUGUUCAUCGAUAUUAGAAAAAUAGAAAUAACUAACUAACUAAUAGUUCUACAGCUCAAACUCCGCGUCUCACCUAUCUGAAAUUACACAUCCUCUGACUCUGAAAAAAAAUGUAAAGAUAGAUAUGAACUUUUUCAGUCCAAUAACAAUCUCCAACCGCUACACUAUAAAUAAUCAGAUAAACAAUACUAGAUAAAAUAUUUACCAUAAUAAUAUUCAAAAAAUUCAUUCAAAACAACAAGCACAUAAGCCAUUAAUAUCCAUCUUAUCAAAGAAACACGCGCGCCCACACAGAUAUAUAUAUAUAUCAAAUUUAACCAAUUAUUUAAUAGUUUCAUACGCCAUGUGUCAUUUUUUCCUCAUUAUCUUAAUUUCCAAGUUUCGUAUUAAUUUUCUCUAGAUCUUGACUAACCAAAAUCAUAACCUAGUCCAAGACUGCUAAAUAAAAUCCCACGCAUAAGCCCGUGGAGAAUAUCCCACGCACAAGCCCGUGGAGGCUGUCACACACAUAAGCCCGUAGAGGCUAUCACACGCAAAAGCUCGUAGAGCCUGUCUCAUGCGUAAGUUCGUGAAAGCUAUCCUACGUGUAACCUGAUGGAGGCUAUCCCACGUGUAAACCCAUGGAGGCAGUCCCAUGUAUAAGAUCAUGGAGCCCAUGGAGGUUGUCCCAUAUGUAAGCUCAUGGAGACUAUUCCAUGCGGAAGUUAGUCAAACCACUUCUUAUCCAUCUAAUUUACAUGUUAUCUUUAUCGAAUCAAAUUCUAAUUACAUAGUGUAUUUCUUACAAAUUAAAGAUAUUUAUCAUCAUUGUUCAUAUAAUAAUGUUUUCAAUAAUUGAUAUCCUCAUAUAAUAAUCAUACAAGUAUGUUCAUACUGAAAAUGAUAUAAAACAUAUCAUCUCAUGCAAAACGAAAUCCAUAAAUACAAACCACACGAUGCAAAACCAGUGGUAUAAAUUCAAUAAAUAUGUAUAUAUACUAGUGAUCAGGUGCAAGGAUUCUUACCUCUACCAAAAAUAGACUCAAAUACAGCAAUUCACUAACCCGCUUCGCAAUCUACGAGCUGGGGUGUAGAGUACCCCAAUCAAUGCCUUCUUACACAGACAACUCUUUCCCUCCAGAAUCAAACUAAAUUAUCAAAAAAAGAAUUAUAUAGUAGACUAGUAACCUAGAUCGCCUACCGUUAUCCACUAGGGGUCCAUCACUAGAUCCCUCGAAUCCCUUCCAUCAAUUACCUGGAUCAACUAGAGAGGAAAAAUGGAGAGAAAGAAACAAUGAUAGAGAAAAGAUGAAGGAAAGAGAGAGCAAGGUAGAGAGAGGAGAGAGAAAGAAGGGAGAAACCUCUCUUCUCUUCUUCAUGAAGAAGGAAAGUUAUCUUUCCCUUCCUCUUCGGCCAGAACCUGGGGCAACCACGGCGGCCACGAGCUUCCUACAGCCACAAUCAUCGCUGAUGAUGGUGGCUAGCUGGCGUAAAGAAGAAGAGAGAGGAAAACAACAAAGAUAGAGAGGGAUCUACACUAAACUCAGCCUAGACCAUGGCCGAUUCUACUGUCCAAUGGUCACACGAUCUCAAAGGUCUCAAGAAGUGGUGAAACUCGGCUAAAUCUAGCAGCUCACGAUGGUGAAUAAAGAGAAAAGUAACCAAAACAGAGCAUUCCUGUUUUAGAUUAAUUUCCGGCGAUUCGCCAACUAGUAUCACGGUGGUAAUGGCCACAGGACUUGAAAAAGGAGAGAGAAAUGGACGAUGCUUACCUCAGUCUGGCGAGGUGAUCCGGUGGAUUUUUCAGUGAACAAUUAAGGGAGAAACUCGUAAGACAAGCUUGGGAUCGGAGGCUAUUCCUCGAGUUAUCGUGGAUAAUUUUCAACGGACGAGGUGGGGAACCUUAAAUAAAUGAGAUCCCUAGGUUUAGCUGGUGUUUGGAUUGCCUUAGAACUAUCAGAGUUCAGCGAUAUCGGGAAGGAAGAACUGGAGUCUUCUUCUCCGCCUCUCACCUGCAACAAGGCUUGCUCGAACACCAACAGACCCAGCCUCUUCAGGCCGGCCCACUAGCCCAAGGAAGCUAGGCUAUCACACCACUGCUCGAGCAUAUAUGUAUUUUCAUAUUUAGCAUGAUGUCAAAGCUCAUUUUUUUUCCAGAAAAACUGUGAAAAAGAUCAUCAUAUAUUUCGUCAGAGAUGAAAUAGAUACAGAAGAGUAAGAAAAUGGAAAAAAAGAGAAAGAAAGAAAGAAAAGAAGAGGCAGGGGAACCCAAGCAGCCGUUAUAUCAAGCCUGAUCCAUAAAACUAGCCCAAUUACUAAAACCGGGCCCAAUAAACAAAAAGUCCAACGAACCAAAUCACGGACGUACCUGGUCAACCCAAAACCAGUAUAACUAUUCAAAGUCCAUUUUGGCACCAGCUUAAAUUUUCUCAAAGCAAUGCAUAGGAUGUUAUUCUAGCAAGACAGUGCAUUGUUAAUAUGAAGAGGAUGAAAUCAUAUAGCAAGAAAAUUAUUAGUGGUUUGAGAUUUUAGAACCUGACAUAAUCUGAUCAAUGUGUUGUGAUCCUGGUUCUCAUUAUGAUCAAGUGGAAUUUUGAUCUCUGACCAUGAUUUUAUUUAUUUAUUUAAAAAUCUCUAACCACGAAUGCUAAUCCAACUCGUGAACCAUGUGCUUUUGUUACAUCAUUCGAGCACUUUAAAAUGGAUCCUUUGAUUUUACUCAAAAAAAAUCUAUGACAAUUAAACGAAAGAUUUGACUUCGCCUUGCUCAUGAAAGCGUUCGAGUGGUCUACUUUGUCGAGCUGACAAGCUCCCUUCGCUGGUUACAGCUUGCUUGGGUGGGAUGGUAAAGGUAGGCCAAGAGAGAAAAGAAGUUGAUAUCAAGUUCAGGAUAAGGCUCGAGGUAUCCUAUCUCCAUCCUGAGAAUUUUGAUCUUUGUCCAUAGCUUAGAACCAGACAAGAAAGUCUGCCCUUGUGCAAAGAUUAUUAACGUAACAACUCAUUAGUCAAAAAAAUAUUACUUAGAUUUCUUAGUUCUUCAUCCAUGCUACACCACACAAGUUUCUCCAACGACCAGUAAAUUUACCCCAUCGCGUAGGCAAAGGCAACAAUUAUGAGGUCAAUAACCUGCAUCGGCUGCAGGGCGGAAUGGAUAGAAUGCAUGCUUUGCUGAUAGUAACGAGUCCUGGCCUGCAAGUAGCUUCCCUUGCAUAUCUAUUGUAUAUAAUCUUCAAUAAGUCUACUCGUUACUGUGUAAAUAAAUAAAGAGACGUUCUCGCUCCAAAAGAAUAAAAGCUCAAAUAAGAGAGACUGAAUCUUCUCCCGUUCUAUUUUCUUUUCCAAUUACGUCAUUCGUCGAUCUUAUUGAUCAUGGUGGAGCCAUUUCAAUGCAUUUGCCCUUGUCGGAUAAUGAUGGGUGCUUCAACCAGAAGGAUGGGCAUUCCAAAGGCAGCACAUCCCAUCAAUCACGCAUCGCCCUAUGCAUCAAUUUUGCCACGCAUAAAGCUGGCCACACAAAACCCGAGGCCACCACGUCAUCCAAUCGAGAAGACGAACGGUUGUCAAACAUCCAAAGUCGUCACGCCGCAUAUUUCAAGCAAUGCGGCACCUUGGCGGAUAGCGUGGAGGAUCGCUGCGAAUGGAUAACGUGGCAGCCACCGACGUACAGCAUCCUGCGGUGCAAAAUGCACCACGUAGAGGACCGUUGCCCGCCUAAACUACCACAAAUAUAGCUAUCUGAUAUUUUUAAUAUAUAUAUAUAUAUAUAUAAUUUUUAAAGUUUUUUUUUACUAACGGCGAGUGACGCAGACACGUGAUUUCUAGCCAUUUGAGAUACAGUGAUGCGCUGUACUCAAAGAUCCGGACAUUAAGUUUGUCGUUUUAUCAAGAUCACUAUUCCCGGAUUGAUGGCCUGGAAGCUAAGUGGGGCCAAGGGAUUUGGCAUAUACCAAAUUAGAAGAUGCCAUAUCACAUUCUCUUUCGUUACUUAAAAAAAAAAGACAAAUCAUUAACAUCUCAAAAUCUGCAAAUAGUGAGGCCAUGGUGUCGUUACAUUUUAUACUUUAGUUGCAUCAGUACUAAAACAAAGCACCGCCUCAGUUUGAACACAAAAAACAUUGGAAAGGAAAGGAAAUCUUCACACCACCAAAAUAUAUAGAGCCAACAUCACAAGGCCAGAACAAACCGGCACUUAUUUGGGUGUCAGGCUGUCAGACCCAAAUACAUCACCCUAAACACCAUGUCAAACCAUGUCACGCUUACAUAAUAUAGAAACAGAAAGGGAAGAUAUAUAGAUAUGGGAAAGGAAAGUUCCAUCCACUCUAGAAGAGGUGAUGAUGCUUCUUCCCAUGAGAUUCCUCAGCUUCCUCCUUGGCUUCCUUCUUCUCAUGGUGCUCAUGGAAGGCAUACCCUCCGCUGCCCACCGCCACGGCCGCAGCCACCUCCUCCUCUAUCUUAUGCCUGUGUGCAUGCUCCGGAUCCUUCUUGGCCUCAUGCUUCUCAUACUGAAACAUUGGUUGUGAUAAAAUCACAAACAAAAUCACAAUGUUUAAUUACCAAUCGAUCUCUAGAUUUUGAUAUGGAUAAAGUGAAGCUUAAAAAACAAAAAAUAAUUAUAACCAAAUUAAGAACAGUGUUGUUUUCUUAACAUUAUCAUCUUUCGUUUUCGAUUAUACCAAAUAAUAACAAAAAAGGCUUCUUAUGGUGGACCCCACGAGUCGUGGAUACGUGUCAAGCAUGACGAAUACCAGUCUAGAUUUUAUAGAUCUUCGUCUGUACCCGACGAUCAGUGAUACAGCCCACAAGACAAGAAGAAGAAUGGUAUGGUGCUCUGCGGGAACAAGUUAAGAUGUGAAAUGAAUAAUACCAGACCAAAGGCGCCGGCGGCUAUCGCGCCCAUCUCGCCGAGAUGCUCCUUCUGCUUGUGGUGCUUCUCCUCCUUCUCAUAAUCCUCGUACCUCCCCUCGUUGGACUCCGAGACCACCUCCGUUGUCUGGGCGUAGCCGGCGGUGUACCCGCCUUCGCCGCCGUAGCCGGCGCCGUAGCCGCCUUCGCCGCCGUAGCCGCCUUCGCCGUAGCCGCUUCCGGUGGAGUAGGCCGUCUCCGAGUACUCCACGGGCUUUUCCUCCUUGUCGUGGUGGAAGUGGUGGUGGUGGUGGUGCUUCUCCUCCGACAUCGGUGAUCGAUCGAUGGCUUAAAUCAGG